GACAGGGGGUGAGGGUCAGAUGUCUGUGUGGGAGACCAGGGCCCAGACGGGGUCUCAGGACAGCGAUGGCAGGUGUUCAGGCUCAGGGUUUCCUAAGGAAAUGGGGAGAGGAUGGAGGACCACCCUCCUUGGCAGGGACCCUCAAACUCAGUUUGGUCUCUGAACUAGGGGUCCUCCUGGGUCCUCAGCAGCCCCUGUCCCACUUUGAGACACAGGUCAGAAGCUCCCAGGACAGGCACCGGGCGUCUGACCUCCUGCCCCUCCCCCGCUUUGCAGGUCAGCCCAAGGCCGCACCCUCGGUCACUCUGUUCCCGCCGUCCUCUGAGGAGCUCACCGCCAACAAGGCCACCCUGGUGUGUCUGAUCAGUGACUUCUACCCGGGCAGCGUGACGGUGGCCUGGAAGCAAGAUGGCACCACCGUCACGCAGGGCGUGGAGACCACCAAGCCCUCGAAGCAGAGCAACAACAAGUACGCGGCCAGCAGCUACCUGAGCCUGUCGCCCAGCACGUGGAAGUCGCACAGCAGCUACAGCUGUCAGGUCACGCACGAGGCGGGCACCGUGGAGAAGACGGUGUCCCCCUCCCAGUGUUAGGCCCCCGGGCCCCCACCCUCGGGGGCUUCCUCACCCAGACCCCCCUCCCCACUCUCCAUGGACCCCUGAGCCUCUGCCCAGGUCAGCUCAGACCAGGCGGGUCUCAUCCCGCCCUGUUCCUGCUCCUCCUUAAUAAAGACCUUGUCAUUUAUCAUCUGA
Vicugna pacos (alpaca) is the source of this 752-nucleotide non-coding RNA. The record is from the annotation of a RefSeq genome assembly. NCBI's taxonomy places the organism in Eukaryota, Metazoa, Chordata, Mammalia, Artiodactyla, Camelidae.